This 253-nucleotide ribosomal RNA is filed under the name uncultured bacterium. RNAcentral describes it as "partial 16S ribosomal RNA". It matches the Rfam family "Bacterial small subunit ribosomal RNA", at positions 524 to 776 of the family's 1533-position model. The record is from RNAcentral.
UACGAGGGGGGCGAGCGUUGUUCGGAAUUAUUGGGCGUAAAGGGCGCGUAGGCGGUGUGGCAAGUCAGGUGUGAAACCUCCAGGCUCAACUUGGAGCUUGCAUCUGAAACUGCCGUGCUAGAGUGUGGGAGAGGAGAGUGGAAUUCCUGGUGUAGCGGUGAAAUGCGUAGAUAUCAGGAGGAACACCGGUGGCGAAGGCGGCUCUCUGGACCACAACUGACGCUGAGGCGCGAAAGCUAGGGGAGCAAACAGG